Gigantopelta aegis is the source of this 446-nucleotide long non-coding RNA. RefSeq lists it as uncharacterized. The record is from RefSeq and is a predicted model, not a curated record. NCBI's taxonomy places the organism in Eukaryota, Metazoa, Mollusca, Gastropoda, Neomphalida, Peltospiridae. The transcript has 2 exons.
UGUCGUUUCGUUUUCACUUCACAUUAGAGAUAUCACUGUAAUAACCCAAGUAACAAUACAGUACAUAUAGUAUAUUGUUAUAAGAUGGCGGCUAACGGGUAUAUGGUUUUUGCUACCCUAGUACUGGUCAUUUCUCUUGUUCAGGGACUGACUACUGUCGACAAGCGUCAGGAUUGUAGUAACAUGUGCGGCCCCGAUACAUGUUGUGUAAGAAUCUGGUUGCCAGGACGACGACGCUUUCUGGUGAAUGGUUACUGCCAGCAGUUGAGGAAAGAGGGAGACACGUGCUAUCCAGGCAGAACUCAACACCAAUGCCCAUGCGCAAGCGAUUUCAAAUGUGAAGUUGCUGAUGGAAAAAUCAGCGGACGUUGCGCCAGAAAGUGAAACAUUUCAGUGUCGGUUUAAACUGCCUGGCAUAUGGGAAAAUAAAAACAAUACCCUAUGAA